GGAAAGUAGAGGUAUGGCCGUGACCUUUCUCCUUCCUGACCUUGGUGGCUGCUAUUCUUCUGGCUGCUCUGAUUUUGCACGAGAGGGCUGAUGUACUCACAGUUCUUCCAGCUCUCAUCCUGUCUUCUGUUUAAAAUUCCCAACACGUGGCCUGCCCCGAGUGCUAAGGGGACCGGACCAGCUUCCCGCCCACACCGGAGGAGGCCUGCAACAGGAACCAGAGGUCUCCCGAGAACCUCGAAGAUCACCAGCAACACAAGUUGGGCUCAUUCUGAGCUAAUUCUUCACAGAAGAAGAUGCGAGCUGCCACGCUGGUAUGCAGCUCCCACUCCUUGCCCGGCUGAUACUCCGCUGCCUGUGUCUAACAUUUUCAUCAACUCCGCAAUCAAUCAAGCUUUCACAUGAAACAGCAUGUCUGUAAGGCGAGGAUGGGAUGGCACGCACAGUACACACUGCUGCACGGAGGUUUCGGCCAGACAUAGCCUGGCACAGAGCCUGGGGAAGGGAAACAGGAGGACACUCCCUCCUUUGAGGCACCGAGGCCCAGAGGAAACCAACACCACCUCUCACCCUGGCAUGAAUGGAACCAGCGUCUAAGCCACAACAGUUGCAGUGCCCCCUGCUGCCCACAGAUGAGCACUAUACCUUCACUAUCCAGGGACAGACUGGCAUGCCAUCACACCACCCACCCUCGGGGAGACCUGUCACAGUGCCUGACAGCUCCAGCACUGAGUCCAGCUUCUCACAUGAGGGACAGCACCUGGCAGAUUCCCAUGGACCAGAGCAGGACACCCAACAGCUCCAUGCUGCAGGGAUGGAAGAGGAGGAGUGGGGAUUUUCCUACACCCAAGAGAAGACAAAGAUCUCUGUACCCAAACAUAGCCUAGCAAAUCCUUAGAUUAUCUUAAUAGUGACCUUCAAAAAAGAAAUGUUCCUUUCUGAGGGUUCUUUUUGCCUAUUUCUCUUCUGCCUCAGGUUAAAGACCAAAGCAGAAAACUGAUUAACUCCCAGAAGCCCGGCCCUCCAUAGUACCAGUUACUAAUUGAGUCAUCUGUGCAGGGAUCUAUGAGAUGCUAUAUAUUGCCUCAUUGAAGCUCCAGGCCCACUAGAAAGGCUUCAUUAACUCCAGUGCUGAGACUAAGAAAGUGACAACAUGGGCUGGAGAGAUGGCUUAGCAGUUAAGGUGCUUGCCUGCAAAGCCUAAGGACCCAGGUUCGAUUCCCCAGUCCC
This is a long non-coding RNA of Jaculus jaculus (lesser Egyptian jerboa), 1230 nucleotides long. RefSeq lists it as uncharacterized. The transcript has 5 exons. The record is from RefSeq and is a predicted model, not a curated record. NCBI's taxonomy places the organism in Eukaryota, Metazoa, Chordata, Mammalia, Rodentia, Dipodidae.